GAUUGAGAACAACGUACAAACCUUAUCGAUAAACAAUUGGAGGGCAAGUCUGGUGCCAGCAGCCGCGGUAAUUCCAGCUCCAAUAGCGUAUAUUAACGUUGUUGCAGUUAAAAAGCUCGUAGUUGAAAUGAAGGGUAGUUGUGUAAUGAAUACAUUCGUGUAUUUUGUUAUUCUACUACCCUCCUUCUAAAUUCGAUAUAUGAGUAUUAAUUUACUUGUAUAUGGUUUUAGACGUUUACUGUGAGAAAAUUAGAGUGUUCAAAGCAGGCAUUUGCUUGAAUAUAUUAGCAUGGAAUAAUCAUGUAUGAUUUUCAUGAUGUAUUUGAUUGGUUUGGUUCAUGAGAAUAAGAUUAAAAGGGACAGUUGGGGGUAUUCAUAUUCAAUAGUCAGAGGUGAAAUUCUCGGAUUUAUGGAAGAUGAACAAGUGCGAAAGCAUUUACCAAGGAUGUUUUCAUUAAUCAAGAACGAAAGUUAGGGGAUCGAAGAGGAUUAGAUACCCUCGUA
Molecule: ribosomal RNA, 504 nt
Filed under: uncultured Blastocystis sp.
Lineage: Eukaryota; Bigyra; Opalinata; Blastocystidae
Description: bacterial SSU rRNA
Rfam family: Eukaryotic small subunit ribosomal RNA
Source: RNAcentral